This 203-nucleotide long non-coding RNA is filed under the name Elaeis guineensis (African oil palm). Its description in RNAcentral is "long non-coding RNA (EGUI_LNC071161)". Lineage: Eukaryota; Viridiplantae; Streptophyta; Magnoliopsida; Arecales; Arecaceae. The record is from RNAcentral.
UGGGCGUGAGUUCUAGGGUGGGGGUUCUAGGGUUUCGACUCUAGACUUUUGUGAGAAGAACAAAACAAGAGAGUCUUGUUUCAUACUACCUACACCAACAUCUCCUCUUCUUGUUCCAUCUUCUGAUCUAGAAGAGUUUAGAUAAUCCAAAGGAAGGAGAAUAUUUCAGCCAUCCAGCAUCUUUCGUGCGAACUAGCAUUUUC